Long non-coding RNA from Alligator mississippiensis (American alligator), 1935 nucleotides. RefSeq lists it as uncharacterized. The record is from RefSeq and is a predicted model, not a curated record. Lineage: Eukaryota; Metazoa; Chordata; Crocodylia; Alligatoridae. The transcript is spliced from 5 exons.
GGGAGAUGGAGUCCGCGCCCGACCAGUGGCCCGGAGGUUCCUCAUCCCGGUUUUACAGUAUUGUGGAACCAAAAUUCUACACAGCACUUUAGGGGGAAAUAAGGACAUUUUCCCCCAUCCACCAUACACAUCCAGCUGGAUCUGCCCUUUCUGUUUCUAUUAGUCAUGGAGGUAAAGAGACAACAUGACCCUGUGGUUCCAAUACUGGCAUCACAAGCCUCAGCUGUGCAGCCAAGAUUGCACCUGUUUGGAGCAGAGAGCCGGUGGGAGAGCUCAAGAACCCCAGAAGCUAAGGGUCAGUAGUGAGUGGACAUCAGAGUGAGCCAAGCACCAGACAGCACCACUGAGUCCCCAGGGAACUCCGUGCACCAGGGCUCUCAACCUAAGUGAGCCUGCAUACAGGAGCUGUAGUAUCACAGCUGCUGUCUGAGAAAGAGUAAGCCCGUGGAGUGCCUCUGCCCUGUUUUGGACAACUACCUUGAUUUGUUUGGCUCCCUGCCAUGUACCAACUUGGCUAUUAUAACUGACGUUCUUCUUGGUUCCUUCUCCGUUCAGAACACACAUAACUGUGGAGGGAACCAGGCUGUUCUAUUUGCUUUGUCUUCAUACAUGCAUCAAUCGAUACAUCUCCAGCAAAACCAAAGAAGUGAUUCUCCCACUCUACUCAGCAUUUGUGAGACUGUAGCUGGAGUACUCAUCCAGUUCUGGGUGCCACACUUUAACAAGGACCUGGUAAAGCUUGAGAGAGUCCAGAGAAGGGGCACCUGCAUGCUCAGAGACUUGCACGGCAAGCCAUAUGAGGAAAGGCUGAGGGAUCUGGGACUCUUCUGCCUGAAAAAAGGAAGGAUGAGAGGGGACAUGGUAGCAGCUUACCACUACAUCAGAGGUGUACAUCAAGGGCUUGGUGAACAACUGUUCACCAGUGCACCCUUGGGGGAAAAACUAGGAGUAAUGGUCACAAACACCUGGAAGACCGCUUCAGACUCAACAUUAGGAAAAACUACUUCACAACUUGGGUGUCCAGACUGUGGAAUGAGCUCUCUCCAGAGGUGGUCCAAUCGCCUACCCUGGAAAUCUUCAAGAGGAGACUGGAUGGUCACCUUGCUGGGGUCACCUGACCCCAGUUGUCUUCCUUGCUUGGUGAAGGGUGCUGGACCCAAUGACCUUUAAGGUCCCUUCCAGCCUUACAAUCUAUGAAUCCAAGAGUUACUGGGAUUAUGUCUAGCACUCUUUUUGGGUAGGGACAGGCAUUCAAAAAGCCUGAGCCUGAAUUGAUUCAAUCUUUGCAGGUGAGUCUAACCUACCUAGGUUGAACCAGUUUGCAACUGUACAGACAUUCCCUCUUAACUGAAGAAAUGCAGGCACAUGCCUGCAGUGGCUCAGGUUAGAAGCUGGGGAGGCACUACAGCAGCUCUCUUCCCUUCCACGGUGCUGAGCUGAGGGGAUGUGUGGCCGGGCCCUGGCAGGAAGCUUUGAUUAGGUAGGAGUGUCAACCCCCAUCCUGCCUAUACCAUCCCAGGCUUUUCCCGCUCACUGCUCAAGGGGCGGGAGUGUUGCUAGCACUCCGGGGCAAAGGAGGAGUGUGAAGCGCGUGCAUUUGUUGAUGAUACUGAGCUCUACAAUAUUCCUCUCCCUGCUUCUUCAUACUGUCUGCAAACCUAAGAGGCAAGGGAGACAUCAGGGGGCUGAUAACAAAGCGUUUAUCAGCCCAUCAACAAAACACAUGCCUUUCUCAUUAGUUCAAGCUCUUCUUAAACAGCUUUUUCCAAGGAAAGAAUGGGGGGACAUUACCAGCUGAUCUGCUGAUUAGCUCAGAAAAGCCCUAAGAGGACACUGUUCUGUCUGCUUGUUCCGGUGAAAUUGGACACACACACACACCUCUCAGCCUUAGCUAGUAUACCACAUGCCUAGGGUCCAUGGGGCUGGGGUCUGUGC